AUCGAACAAUUUCAUUGAGCAUUAUUGCUGAACGCACAUAACUUCCUUUGGAGGAUGAGGAACUUCUUCUCAUGAAGAGCGUAUCUGCGGCUGAUACUUCAAUACAGCUGUAUCUCAAUUUCAUCACUGAGUUCGAGACUGAGAUCAAUUUUCUUAAGCUUGCCCAUUUUGCUGUUAUAGUGUCUCGGUAGUAUGCAGAAAAAGAAGCUGAUAUUGGUUAUCUUGAGGGAAUUAUUCAGAAGCUGCGUGCAACCGGAGAAACACGUAUAGAGGAAUCCAUUCUCUAUAUAAAUAUGCGGAUUGCUGCCUACAGAUUCGAGACGGGAGAGCGAAAAGAGUGCCAGAAUCUUUUCGACGACAGGAAGACCAUACUUGACAGCAUGACAGAUAUAGAUCUCUCUCUUUAUGGAAGCAACUACUCAGUAUCAUAAGUCAAGUCAGUGGAUUAGCUACUCUUCAUCGUCCGACAUGUGAAAAAUUCAUCCAAAAGGAGAAACACGUAUAGAGGAACCCGUUGUCUGUAUAAAGAUGCAGAUUGCUGCCUUCAGACUUGAGAAAAGGAGAGCAAAAGGAGUGCAAGAAUCUUUUGGUUGAUGGGAGUACUACAUUCGAUAGCAUGGCUGUGUCUCGGCAGUAUGCAGAAAAAGAAGCUACCAUUUGUUAUCUUGAGGGAGUUAUUGAGAAGCUGCAUGCAACCAGAGAAACACGCAUAGAGGAAUCCAUUUUCUAUAUAAAUAUGCGGAUUGCUGCCUUCAGACUCGAGAUGGGAGAACAAAUAUAGUGGAAGGAACUACUGGCUUUCGUCUCAUUAUCAUAAGUCAGUCUUUUGAGGAGUAAGGUGGAACCGCUAUACUUUAUCCAUCAGGCCUUCAAUUCUGGUGAUUUAGUUUGAUAUCAAGAACUCGGUGUUGUUCACAAGGCUGCUUUGAACACUCAACCUGCUGCAUUAACGAGAAGAAGCUACUGGAAAAGAUUUACAUUCUCCGCUUGAUGGAAAUCAUAUUCGGCCCAACCGCGGAUGAUCAAACAAUUCCAUUGGGCGUAAUUGCACAACACACUGCUUCUUCUCAUGAAGAGCUUAUCUGAUCAAACAGAUGGUUCUUUUGUUGACCUCAGCUAGUUUAGGGAUUGUACAGUCUGUGGCUAUCUCUGUCACAUUAUUUUGGUUGAUGCAAUUUACAUUUUUAAACAAUUGGUUUGGACGAUACCCGUUACCGUCUUAGCUCAGUGGUAGAGCAUGUGGCGUAUCGCCUCAAGGUCGUGGGUUCAAUUCCUGCA
Long non-coding RNA from Papaver somniferum (opium poppy), 1278 nucleotides. RefSeq lists it as uncharacterized. The transcript is spliced from 7 exons. NCBI's taxonomy places the organism in Eukaryota, Viridiplantae, Streptophyta, Magnoliopsida, Ranunculales, Papaveraceae. The record is from RefSeq and is a predicted model, not a curated record.